Molecule: ribosomal RNA, 66 nt
Filed under: Combretum grandidieri
Lineage: Eukaryota; Viridiplantae; Streptophyta; Magnoliopsida; Myrtales; Combretaceae
Description: partial 28S ribosomal RNA
Rfam family: Eukaryotic large subunit ribosomal RNA
Source: RNAcentral
CCCGCUGAGUUUAAGCAUAUCAAUAAGCGGAGGAAAAGAAACUAACGAGGAUUCCCCUAGUAACGG